GCUCUGGAUUAGGCUUUGGCUUAAGGGAAUGUUCUGGCUGGUUUGAUCUUCUAUCCAGACCACUAAUAUGUUCUCUAUAUCAGC
This 84-nucleotide microRNA precursor is filed under the name Ovis aries (sheep). RNAcentral describes it as "miRNA (ENSOARG00000024959.1)". The record is from RNAcentral. Lineage: Eukaryota; Metazoa; Chordata; Mammalia; Artiodactyla; Bovidae.